RNAcentral lists this ribosomal RNA (250 nucleotides) under uncultured bacterium. RNAcentral describes it as "partial 16S ribosomal RNA". It matches the Rfam family "Bacterial small subunit ribosomal RNA", at positions 524 to 773 of the family's 1533-position model. The record is from RNAcentral.
UACGUAGGGAGCAAGCGUUAUCCGGAUUUACUGGGUGUAAAGGGCGCGUAGGCGGGAAUGCAAGUCAGAUGUGAAAUCUGGGGGCUCAACCCCCAAGCUGCAUUUGAAACUGUAUUUCUUGAGUGAUGGAGAGGCAAGCGGAAUUCCUAGUGUAGCGGUGAAAUGCGUAGAUAUUAGGAGGAACACCAGUGGCGAAGGCGGCUUGCUGGACAUUAACUGACGCUGAGGCGCGAAAGCGUGGGGAGCAAAC